This 253-nucleotide ribosomal RNA is filed under the name uncultured bacterium. RNAcentral's name for it is "partial 16S ribosomal RNA". It matches the Rfam family "Bacterial small subunit ribosomal RNA", at positions 524 to 776 of the family's 1533-position model. The record is from RNAcentral.
UACGUAGGCAGCAAGCGUUGUUCGGAGUUAUUGGGCGUAAAGAGCGCGUAGGCGGUCCGAUAAGUCGGCUGUGAAAGUCAGGGGCUCAACCCUUGAAGGCCGGCCGAUACUGUCGGACUAGAGUCCGGAAGAGGCGAGUGGAAUUCCCGGUGUAGCAGUGAAAUGCGUAGAGAUCGUAAGGAAGACCAGUGGCGAAGGCGGGUCUCUGGACAGUUCCUGACACUGAGGCACGAAGGCCAGGGGAGCAAACGGG